AGAGUUUGAUCAUGGCUCAGGACGAACGCUGGCGGCGCGCCUAACACAUGCAAGUCGAACGAGCGAGAGAGAGCUUGCUUUCUCGAGUCGAGUGGCGAACGGGUGAGUAACGCGUGAGGAACCUGCCUCAAAGAGGGGGACAACAGUUGGAAACGACUGCUAAUACCGCAUAAGCCCACAGCUCGGCAUCGAGCAGAGGGAAAAGGAGCAAUCCGCUUUGAGAUGGCCUCGGCGUCCGAUUAGCUAGUUGGUGAGGUAACGGCCCACCAAGGCGACGAUCGGUAGCCGGACUGAGAGGUUGAACGGCCACCAUUGGGACUGAGACACGGCCCAGACUCCUACGGGAGGCAGCA
RNAcentral lists this ribosomal RNA (353 nucleotides) under uncultured bacterium. RNAcentral's name for it is "bacterial SSU rRNA". It matches the Rfam family "Bacterial small subunit ribosomal RNA", at positions 8 to 353 of the family's 1533-position model. The record is from RNAcentral.